Molecule: ribosomal RNA, 572 nt
Filed under: Patescibacteria group bacterium
Lineage: Bacteria
Description: partial 23S ribosomal RNA
Rfam family: Bacterial large subunit ribosomal RNA
Source: RNAcentral
GUUAAAACACGUAAGGGCGUAUGGUGGAUGGCUAGGCAUGAAGAGCCGAUGAAGGACGUAGCAGCCUGCGAUAAGCUCUGGGAAGGUGGCAAGCAACCGUUGAUCCAGAGAUCUCCGAAUGGGGAAACCCUACCGAUUGAAGAUCGGUAACGAACGUCUGAAUUCAUAGGACGUUGCGUGGGAACCUAGGGAAGUGAAACAUCUCAGUACCUAGAGGAAAAGAAAAAAACAAAGUGGACAUCUUGUCUCUCAAGAUCAUUCGUGGUCUUGGUGAGACAAGACGUCCGCAAUAUUCCCUGAGUAGCGGCGAGCGAAAUGGGAGGAGUCAAAACCGUUUUAUAUGACCGAUUACACCGAGUUGAACGCAAGUUCCGCCGCGGGUUUUCGCGAGGGCGUGGGCCGCCUUUAAAACGGGGUUGUAGGGACGAAGCAUGUGUUCCCCAUGAAACACAUGAAGAGCAGAGAACAUUAGCCGAAUCCACUGGAAAGUGGAACCAAAGACGGUGAUAGUCCGGUAAGCGAAAGUGCUUCUCUCCUUCAGCUUCAGAUCCAUAGUACAACGAGGCUCGAGU